Molecule: ribosomal RNA, 468 nt
Filed under: uncultured bacterium
Lineage: Bacteria
Description: partial 16S ribosomal RNA
Rfam family: Bacterial small subunit ribosomal RNA
Source: RNAcentral
GACGAACGCUGGCGGCGUGCUUAACACAUGCAAGUCGAACGGAAAGGCCCUACUUUUGUGGGGUGCUCGAGUGGCGAACGGGUGAGUAACACGUGAGUAACCUGCCCUGUACUUUGGGAUAACUUCAGGAAACUGGGGCUAAUACCGGAUAGGAGCACCUGCUGCAUGGUGGGGGGUGGAAAGUUUCGGCGGUUGGGGAUGGACUCGGGGCUUAUCAGCUUGUUGGGGGGGUAGGGGCUUACCAAGGCUUUGGCGGGUAGCCGGCCUGAGGGGGUGACCGGCCAAAUUGGGACUGAGAUACGGUCCAGACUCCUACGGGAGGCAGCAGGGGGGAAUAUUGCACAAGGGGCGGAAGCCGGUUGAAGCAACGCCGGGUGCGGGAGGACGGCCUUCGGGUGUUAAACCGCUUUCGCCUGGGACAAAGCGUGAGUGACGGUAGUGGGUAAAGAAGCACCGGCUAACUACGUG